This 25-nucleotide non-coding RNA is filed under the name Cricetulus griseus (Chinese hamster). Lineage: Eukaryota; Metazoa; Chordata; Mammalia; Rodentia; Cricetidae. The record is from RNAcentral.
AGUAUGAGAACCUGAGUCAGGAACU